AUGUUACAGACGAAAAUCUCAGUGGGCGUAAACCAUUUUGAGUCACCAACCAAUCACAAACAUGUUUUCCAAAAACAUUUGAAUUCAAUUCGAAAAUGUUUUCACAAAACAUUCGAAAACACUGUUUCGUUUGUUAUUGGUUGAUGUCUCAAAAUAGUUAACAUCCACUGAGAUUUUCGUCUCAUUCGAUGAGAGCAGUUUGAGGUUUUCGAUUAACUCACCGAUUUCCUUUAUUCUCUCAUCGGCACAAUCUUUAGAUUGUUCCA
This is a long non-coding RNA of Maniola jurtina (meadow brown), 266 nucleotides long. RefSeq lists it as uncharacterized. The record is from RefSeq and is a predicted model, not a curated record. The transcript has 2 exons. NCBI's taxonomy places the organism in Eukaryota, Metazoa, Arthropoda, Insecta, Lepidoptera, Nymphalidae.